GAUGAAGAACGUAGCGAAAUGCGAUAAGUAGUGUGAAUUGCAGAAUUCAGUGAAUCAUCGAAUCUUUGAACGCACAUUGCGCCCUUUGGUAUUCCUUAGGGCAUGCCUGUUCGAGCGCCAUUUAAACCUUCAAGCUCAGCUUGGUGUUGGGUGACUGUCCGCUUCACCGCGGACUCGCCUCAAAAUUAUUGGCGGCCGGUACAUUGGCUUCGAGCGCAGCAGAAACGCGAACUCGGGCCCGUCGUAUUGGCUCCCAGAAGCUAUCUUCACAAUUUUGACCUCGGAUCAGGUAGGGAUACCCGCUGAACUUAAGCAUAUCAAUAAGCGGAGGA
Molecule: unclassified non-coding RNA, 332 nt
Filed under: soil metagenome
Description: partial contains 5.8S ribosomal RNA, internal transcribed spacer 2, and large subunit ribosomal RNA
Rfam family: 5.8S ribosomal RNA (bases 1-120)
Source: RNAcentral